Molecule: ribosomal RNA, 222 nt
Filed under: Triticum aestivum (bread wheat)
Lineage: Eukaryota; Viridiplantae; Streptophyta; Magnoliopsida; Poales; Poaceae
Description: partial small subunit ribosomal RNA
Source: RNAcentral
ACCAAUCCUACUACUUCUCAUCCCGGGGUUUCCGCAGUUGAAUAAAAAAGUACAGGCCAUAUCGAUCAAAUUAUUGGACACGUGUUGGAUGUCACUUUUACCCCAGGCAAGUUACCUUAUAUUUAGUCCCAAAUAUUUAUCCAAAAGUACUUCUGUCAUAAUCUCCAAAAUAGUACAUACGCCUUCCUUCAUUUCAGCACACUUGAUUUUUUUCCACACUAA